GACGAACGCUGGCGGCGUGCUUAACACAUGCAAGUCGGACGCUGAAGCUCAGCUUUUGUUGGGUGGAUGAGUGGCGAACGGGUGAGUAACACGUGAGUAACCUGCCCCCUUCUUUGGGAUAACGCCCGGAAACGGGUGCUAAUACUGGAUAUUCACUGGUCUUCGCAUGGGGGUUGGUGGAAAGGGUUUUUCUGGUGGGGGAUGGGCUCGCGGCCUAUCAGCUUGUUGGUGGGGUGAUGGCCUACCAAGGCUUUGACGGGUAGCCGGCCUGAGAGGGUGACCGGUCACAUUGGGACUGAGAUACGGCCCAGACUCCUACGGGAGGCAGCAGUGGGGAAUAUUGCACAAUGGGCGCAAGCCUGAUGCAGCGACGCCGCGUGAGGGAUGGAGGCCUUCGGGUUGUGAACCUCUUUCGCUCAUGGUCAAGCCGCAACAAUGGUUGUGGUGAGGGUAGUGGGUAAAGAAGCGCCGGCUAACUACGUG
RNAcentral lists this ribosomal RNA (483 nucleotides) under uncultured bacterium. RNAcentral describes it as "partial 16S ribosomal RNA". It matches the Rfam family "Bacterial small subunit ribosomal RNA", at positions 28 to 507 of the family's 1533-position model. The record is from RNAcentral.